GUUAGGUAGAAAGUGGUUGCCCCGCACCUUUUAUUAAUUCAUAAGUUUUAAAACGGAUAUGUUUUAAGAUUGUUGAAUAUUUAAAGUGCGGGGAGGAAAGUCCGGGCUCCAGGGGCAAGCGCAAUGGGGUAACGCCCAUCCCCCGCACCUUUUUAUAAAUUCAAUAUAUUUUAAAGCAUAUUGUUUUAAGAUUAUUGAAUACUUAAAGUUGUGGGGAGGAUAUCUGCCACAGUAAUAGGCGGACCCGCCAAUAUCUUUGACGGGAGAGCUACAGAGACGAGUCCUCCGGCGUAUCGUCGGGGGGGUGAAACGAAGCAAUCUCUGCGCGGAGCAAAGCCAAAUAGGGAACGAGGGAUGCGCCCGUCCCGCUAAUAGUUUCGGGUAGGCUGCUUGAACCUGAGGGUAACCUCAGGGCUUAGAGAAAUAACCACUAACAGGCGGAUAAUCGUCUUGAAACAGAACCCGGCUUAUUUUGCCUAACUCCU
RNAcentral lists this RNase P RNA (485 nucleotides) under Candidatus Omnitrophota bacterium. RNAcentral's name for it is "Candidatus Omnitrophica bacterium RNase P RNA component class A". It matches the Rfam family "Bacterial RNase P class A". From Rfam's summary of the family: Ribonuclease P (RNase P) is a ubiquitous endoribonuclease, found in archaea, bacteria and eukarya as well as chloroplasts and mitochondria. Its best characterised activity is the generation of mature 5'-ends of tRNAs by cleaving the 5'-leader elements of precursor-tRNAs. Cellular RNase Ps are ribonucleoproteins. Lineage: Bacteria; Pseudomonadati; Candidatus Omnitrophota. The record is from RNAcentral.